CCCGCUGAACUUAAGCAUAUCAAUAAGCGGAGGAAAAGAAACUAACAAGGAUUCCCCUAGUAACUGCGAGUGAAGCGGGAAAAGCUCAAAUUUAAAAUCUGGCAGUCUUGCUGUCCGAGUUGUAAUCUGGAGAAGCAUUUUCUGUGUCGGACCGUGUACAAGUCUCUUGGAAUAGAGCGUCAUAGAGGGUGAGAAUCCCGUCCAUGACACGGACUCCCGAUGCUUUGUGAUAUGCUCUCGAAGAGUCGAGUUGUUUGGGAAUGCAGCUCAAAAUGGGUGGUAAAUUCCAUCUAAAGCUAAAUAUUGGCGAGAGACCGAUAGCGAACAAGUACCGUGAGGGAAAGAUGAAAAGCACUUUGGAAAGAGAGUUAAACAGUACGUGAAAUUGUUGAAAGGGAAACGCUUGAAGUCAGUCGCGUUGUCUGAGACUCAGCCUUGCUUUUGCUCGGUGUACUUCUUAGUUAACGGGUCAACAUCAAUUUUGGUUGGUGGAUAAAGGUAUUGGGAAUGUGGCACCUUCACGGGUGUGUUAUAGCCCUUUGCUGCAUACACUGACUGGGAUUGAGGACUGCAGCACGCCGUCUUGGCCGGGGGUUCGCCCUACGUAACGUGCUUAGGAUGUUGGCGUAAUGGCUUUAAACGACCCGUCUUGAAACACGG
RNAcentral lists this ribosomal RNA (660 nucleotides) under uncultured fungus. RNAcentral's name for it is "eukaryotic LSU rRNA". It matches the Rfam family "Eukaryotic large subunit ribosomal RNA", at positions 24 to 664 of the family's 3401-position model. Lineage: Eukaryota; Fungi. The record is from RNAcentral.